GGAAGUAAAAGUCGUAACAAGAUCUCCGUAGGUGAACCUGCGGAGGGAUCAUUACAGAGUUCUCGCCCUCGCGGGUAGAUCUCCCACCCACUGUUAUCGUUACUGUGUUGCUUUGGCGGGCCGCCGGGCCCCGCUCGGCCGCCGGCUCCGGCUGGCGCGCGCCCGCCAGAGGCCCAGCAAACUCUGAAUGUUAGUGUCGUCUGAGUACUAUAUAAUAGUUAAAACUUUCAACGACGGAUCUCUUGGUUCUG
RNAcentral lists this unclassified non-coding RNA (251 nucleotides) under plant metagenome. RNAcentral describes it as "partial contains small subunit ribosomal RNA, internal transcribed spacer 1, and 5.8S ribosomal RNA". The stretch from base 1 to 54 matches the Rfam family "Eukaryotic small subunit ribosomal RNA", at positions 1778 to 1831 of the family's 1831-position model. The record is from RNAcentral.